GUGUCAGCAGCCGCGGUAAUACGGAGGGUGCGAGCGUUAAUCGGAAUUACUGGGCGUAAAGCGCACGCAGGCGGUUUGUUAAGCUAGAUGUGAAUCCCCCGGGCUCAACCUGGGAAUUGCAUUUAAAACUGUCCAGCUAGAGUCUUGUAGAGGGGGGUAGAAUUCCAGGUGUAGCGGUGAAAUGCCUAGAGAUCUGGAGGAAUACCGGUGGCGAAGGCCCCCCCCUGGACAAAGACUGACGCUCAGGUGCGAAAGCGUGGGGAGCAAACAGGAUUAGAAACCCCCGUAGUCC
RNAcentral lists this ribosomal RNA (292 nucleotides) under uncultured prokaryote. RNAcentral describes it as "partial 16S ribosomal RNA". It matches the Rfam family "Bacterial small subunit ribosomal RNA", at positions 505 to 796 of the family's 1533-position model. The record is from RNAcentral.